AUUCAGUCAAAAAGCAUUUAUGGAACACCUACUAUGUGCCAGGGGUAUUACUAACUAUUGGGAUAUGAAGGCUUGUACAGGGAGAUUCAUGUGUUGUCCAAAAGAUGAAGACUCCUCUCAUCUUCUGAGCAUCCAGGUCUCAUCAAGCCCUCUACCACCACCACUCCAUAAACUCUUGAGUUUCUAUUUAAGGCUUCUAUCUGCUUCAAGCUUUUCCCUAGUCCCAAGAUGGCUGCAGAGAGAACUCAAACCUUCAUAUUGCCACUCCAGGAGAAGAUUGAAAGAGCUUUUCUUUCUUAGAAACUCCAAAGAAUGUAGGAGAAACCUGAGGCGCUGAGGUUCAAUGACUUGUUACGUCAUCUACUAAGCUUCUUCCAAACAACAAAGGCAACAGAGCAAGGUGGUG
This 406-nucleotide long non-coding RNA is filed under the name Equus caballus (horse). Its description in RNAcentral is "lncRNA (ENSECAG00000053381.1)". The record is from RNAcentral. Lineage: Eukaryota; Metazoa; Chordata; Mammalia; Perissodactyla; Equidae.